This 234-nucleotide ribosomal RNA is filed under the name uncultured bacterium. RNAcentral's name for it is "partial small subunit ribosomal RNA". It matches the Rfam family "Bacterial small subunit ribosomal RNA", at positions 26 to 287 of the family's 1533-position model. The record is from RNAcentral.
AGGAUGAACGCUGGCGGUCUGCUUAACACAUGCAAGUCGAACGGGCGUAGCAAUACGUUAGUGGCGGACGGGUGAGUAACGCGUGAGAAUCUACCUUCAGGACGGAGACAACAGUUGGAAACGACUGCUAACCCCCGAUGUACUGAAAAGGCAAAUAUUUAUAGCCUGAAGAAGAGCUCGCGUCCGAUUAGCUAGUUGGAGAGGUAAAAGCUCACCAAGGCGACGAUCGGUAGC